CGGGGUGGGUAAUGUAUGGGGAUCUGCCUGAUGGCGGGGGAUAACUACUGGAAACGGUAGCUAAUACCGCAUAAUGUCUGCGGACCAAAGCGGGGGACCUCCGGGCCUCGCGCCAUCAGAUGAACCCAUAUGGGAUUAGCUAGUAGGUGAGGUAACGGCUUACCUAGGCGACGAUCCCUAGCUGGUCUGAGAGGAUGAUCAGCCACACUGGGACUGAGACACGGCCCAG
This 229-nucleotide ribosomal RNA is filed under the name uncultured bacterium. RNAcentral describes it as "partial 16S ribosomal RNA". It matches the Rfam family "Bacterial small subunit ribosomal RNA", at positions 104 to 334 of the family's 1533-position model. The record is from RNAcentral.